This 730-nucleotide ribosomal RNA is filed under the name uncultured bacterium. Its description in RNAcentral is "bacterial SSU rRNA". It matches the Rfam family "Bacterial small subunit ribosomal RNA", at positions 771 to 1501 of the family's 1533-position model. The record is from RNAcentral.
AACAGGAUUAGAUACCCUGGUAGUCCACGCCGCAAACGAUGUCGACUUGGAGGUUGUGCCCUUGAGGCGUGGCUUCCGGAGCUAACGCGUUAAGUCGACCGCCUGGGGAGUACGGCCGCAAGGUUAAAACUCAAAUGAAUUGACGGGGGCCCGCACAAGCGGUGGAGCAUGUGGUUUAAUUCGAUGCAACGCGAAGAACCUUACCUACUCUUGACAUCCAGAGAACUUUCCAGAGAUGGAUUGGUGCCUUCGGGAACUCUGAGACAGGUGCUGCAUGGCUGUCGUCAGCUCGUGUUGUGGAAUGUUGGGUUAAGUCCCGCAACGAGCGCAACCCUUAUCCUUUGUUGCCAGCGGUUAGGCCGGGAACUCAAGGGAGACUGCCAGUGAUAAACUGGAGGAAGGUGGGGAUGACGUCAAGUCAUCAUGGCCCUUACGAGUAGGGCUACACACGUGCUACAAUGGCGCAUACAAAGAGAAGCGACCUCGCGAGAGCAAGCGGACCUCAUAAAGUGCGUCGUAGUCCGGAUUGGAGUCUGCAACUCGACUCCAUGAAGUCGGAAUCGCUAGUAAUCGUGGAUCAGAAUGCCACGGUGAAUACGUUCCCGGGCCUUGUACACACCGCCCGUCACACCAUGGGAGUGGGUUGCAAAAGAAGUAGGUAGCUUAACCUUCGGGAGGGCGCUUACCACUUUGUGAUUCAUGACUGGGGUGAAGUCGUAACAAGGUAACC